This 229-nucleotide ribosomal RNA is filed under the name uncultured bacterium. RNAcentral's name for it is "partial 16S ribosomal RNA". It matches the Rfam family "Bacterial small subunit ribosomal RNA", at positions 524 to 750 of the family's 1533-position model. The record is from RNAcentral.
UACGAAGGGGGGCUAGCGUUGUUCGGAUUUACUGGGCGUAAAGCGCACGUAGGCGGAUCGUUAAGUCGGGGGUGAAAUCCUGGAGCUCAACUCCAGAACUGCCUUCGAUACUGGCGAUCUUGAGUCCGGAAGAGGUGAGUGGAACUCCUAGUGUAGAGGUGGAAUUCGUAGAUAUUAGGGAAGAACACCAGUGGCGAAGGCGGCUCACUGGUCCGGUACUGACGCUGAC